GGAAGCCUGCCCGUCCUCUGUUUUAUUGAAUUCACCGUCGCUCAGAAACCGCCCGCAAGAUUUGCUCCAACCCGGUGACGAGACUCUCCGCAUCGGAGCCAAUUUAAGCGCUAGGUGUCUCAACUAGCCACCUACACAUCGCCUUGCCUUCCGCCCUGAUUAAGAAGAAAGACAUUUUUCUUUGAAUCUAAAAUAAACUUUUGACUUGUAAAUAGUUUUGGGAAAACACGACCUGCUCUUUUAUUUUAUAACUACA
Molecule: long non-coding RNA, 256 nt
Organism: Sitophilus oryzae (rice weevil)
Lineage: Eukaryota; Metazoa; Arthropoda; Insecta; Coleoptera; Curculionidae
Exons: 2
Source: RefSeq, a predicted model, not a curated record